GGUUAAGCGACUAAGCGUACACGGUGGAUGCCCUGGCAGUCAGAGGCGAUGAAGGACGUGCUAAUCUGCGAAAAGCGUCGGUAAGGUGAUAUGAACCGUUAUAACCGGCGAUGUCCGAAUGGGGAAACCCAGUGCAAUUCGUUGCACUAUCGUUAACUGAAUACAUAGGUUAACGAGGCGAACCGGGGGAACUGAAACAUCUAAGUACCCCGAGGAAAAGAAAUCAACCGAGAUUCCCCCAGUAGCGGCGAGCGAACGGGGAGCAGCCCAGAGUCUGAAUCAGCUUGUGUGUUAGUGGAACGGUCUGGAAAGUCCGACGGUACAGGGUGAUAGUCCCGUACACCAAAAUGCACAGGUUGUGAACUCGAAGAGUAGGGCGGGACACGUGGUAUCCUGUCUGAAUAUGGGGGACCAUCCUCCAAGGCUAAAUACUCCUGACUGACCGAUAGUGAACCAGUACCGUGAGGGAAAGGCGAAAAGAACCCCGGCGAGGGGAGUGAAAAAGAACCUGAAACCGUGUACGUACAAGCAGUGGGAGCACCUUCGGGUGUGACUGCGUACCUUUUGUAUAAUGGGUCAGCGACUUAUAUUCUGUAGCAAGGUUAACCGUAUAGGGGAGCCGCAGGGAAACCGAGUCUUAACUGGGCGUUAAGUUGCAGGGUAUAGACCCGAAACCCGGUGAUCUAGCCAUGGGCAGGUUGAAGGUUGGGUAACACUAACUGGAGGACCGAACCGACUAAUGUUGAAAAAUUAGCGGAUGACUUGUGGCUGGGGGUGAAAGGCCAAUCAAACCGGGAGAUAGCUGGUUCUCCCCGAAAGCUAUUUAGGUAGCGCCUCGUGAAUUCAUCUUCGGGGUAGAGCACUGUUUCGGCUAGGGGGUCAUCCCGACUUACCAACCCGAUGCAAACUACGAAUACCGAAGAAUGUUAUCACGGGAGACACACGGCGGGUGCUAACGUCCGUCGUGAAGAGGGAAACAACCCAGACCGCCAGCUAAGGUCCCAAAGUCAUGGUUAAGUGGGAAACGAUGUGGGAAGGCACAGACAGCCAGGAUGUUGGCUUAGAAGCAGCCAUCAUUUAAAGAAAGCGUAAUAGCUCACUGGUCGAGUCGGCCUGCGCGGAAGAUGUAACGGGGCUAAACCAUGCACCGAAGCUGCGGCAGCGACACUAUGUGUUGUUGGGUAGGGGAGCGUUCUGUAAGCCUGCGAAGGUGACCUGUGAGGGUUGCUGGAGGUAUCAGAAGUGCGAAUGCUGACAUAAGUAACGAUAAAGCGGGUGAAAAGCCCGCUCGCCGGAAGACCAAGGGUUCCUGUCCAACGUUAAUCGGGGCAGGGUGAGUCGACCCCUAAGGCGAGGCCGAAAGGCGUAGUCGAUGGGAAACAGGUUAAUAUUCCUGUACUUGGUGUUACUGCGAAGGGGGGACGGAGAAGGCUAUGUUAGCCGGGCGACGGUUGUCCCGGUUUAAGCAUGUAGGCUGGUUGUCCAGGCAAAUCCGGAUAAUCAAGGCUGAGGUGUGAUGACGAGGCACUACGGUGCUGAAGUAACAAAUGCCCUGCUUCCAGGAAAAGCCUCUAAGCAUCAGGUAACAUCAAAUCGUACCCCAAACCGACACAGGUGGUCAGGUAGAGAAUACCAAGGCGCUUGAGAGAACUCGGGUGAAGGAACUAGGCAAAAUGGUGCCGUAACUUCGGGAGAAGGCACGCUGGUGUGUAGGUGAAGUCCCUGCGGAUGGAGCUGAGACCAGUCGAAGAUACCAGCUGGCUGCAACUGUUUAUUAAAAACACAGCACUGUGCAAACACGAAAGUGGACGUAUACGGUGUGACGCCUGCCCGGUGCCGGAAGGUUAAUUGAUGGGGUUAUCCGUAAGGAGAAGCUCUUGAUCGAAGCCCCGGUAAACGGCGGCCGUAACUAUAACGGUCCUAAGGUAGCGAAAUUCCUUGUCGGGUAAGUUCCGACCUGCACGAAUGGCGUAAUGAUGGCCAGGCUGUCUCCACCCGAGACUCAGUGAAAUUGAACUCGCUGUGAAGAUGCAGUGUACCCGCGGCAAGACGGAAAGACCCCGUGAACCUUUACUAUAGCUUGACACUGAACAUUGAGCCUUGAUGUGUAGGAUAGGUGGGAGGCUUUGAAGCGUGGACGCCAGUCUGCGUGGAGCCAACCUUGAAAUACCACCCUUUAAUGUUUGAUGUUCUAACGUUGGCCCCUUACCGGGGUUGCGGACAGUGUCUGGUGGGUAGUUUGACUGGGGCGGUCUCCUCCCAAAGCGUAACGGAGGAGCACGAAGGUUAGCUAAUCCUGGUCGGACAUCAGGAGGUUAGUGCAAUGGCAUAAGCUAGCUUGACUGCGAGCGUGACGGCGCGAGCAGGUGCGAAAGCAGGUCAUAGUGAUCCGGUGGUUCUGAAUGGAAGGGCCAUCGCUCAACGGAUAAAAGGUACUCCGGGGAUAACAGGCUGAUACCGCCCAAGAGUUCAUAUCGACGGCGGUGUUUGGCACCUCGAUGUCGGCUCAUCACAUCCUGGGGCUGAAGUAGGUCCCAAGGGUAUGGCUGUUCGCCAUUUAAAGUGGUACGCGAGCUGGGUUUAGAACGUCGUGAGACAGUUCGGUCCCUAUCUGCCGUGGGCGCUGGAGAAUUGAGGGGGCUGCUCCUAGUACGAGAGGACCGGAGUGGACGCAUCACUGGUGUUCGGGUUGUCAUGCCAAUGGCACUGCCCGGUAGCUAAAUGCGGAAGAGAUAAGUGCUGAAAGCAUCUAAGCACGAAACUUGCCCCGAGAUGAGUUCUCCCUGAGACUUUAAGUCUCCUGAAGGAACGUUAAAGACGAUGACGUUGAUAGGCCGGGUGUGUAAGCGCAGCGAUGCGUUGAGCUAACCGGUACUAAUGAACCGUGAGGCUUAACCUU
This 2899-nucleotide ribosomal RNA is filed under the name Klebsiella pneumoniae. Its description in RNAcentral is "23S ribosomal RNA". It matches the Rfam family "Bacterial large subunit ribosomal RNA". The record is from RNAcentral. Lineage: Bacteria; Pseudomonadati; Pseudomonadota; Gammaproteobacteria; Enterobacterales; Enterobacteriaceae.